UAUACCUGCAGGAGCCUUCACUUAGUUGGCAUAAGUACACGAGCCCUCUGCCCAGCCCCGUAACACAAAAUUGUGCAUCAAUACAUCUGUGCAAUGCCUCACUUGACUCACUCCACCUCAGUUUCAGAUGGCUGCCUAGCCCAAGUUUUUGACCCACCCAAGAAGUGUGUUAAUAACCGAUUUAUACUCGACACACCAAAUGAGGGGAGACUACAGCAGUGAAGUAGUCAGCAAGCUACUCAGGACAGUUGGAGGUCCCUUCGACGCUCGGUCUUUACUGAUGAAUUGCAGCACUUUCGCCGUCUGGGCAGGAUACAAAAAAGGAUGAAUCUGACUAACCAUCAUCACGACCAUUAAAAUUACCUGAUGCCUCAAGUGGCGAUAGCAAAGCCGUUUAAUUGAAAUUUCAUUUGUAAACGAAGGUGCACCUAAGCUGAAACGCAUAUGACAAUAAAGAAAUCAACAAAAAAGAACCGG
Molecule: long non-coding RNA, 477 nt
Organism: Rhipicephalus microplus (southern cattle tick)
Lineage: Eukaryota; Metazoa; Arthropoda; Arachnida; Ixodida; Ixodidae
Source: RefSeq, a predicted model, not a curated record